Molecule: small nucleolar RNA, 143 nt
Organism: Jaculus jaculus (lesser Egyptian jerboa)
Lineage: Eukaryota; Metazoa; Chordata; Mammalia; Rodentia; Dipodidae
Product: small nucleolar RNA SNORA15
Exons: 1
Source: RefSeq, a predicted model, not a curated record
GCAUGGCUGAAUACUGUGUUCUUUAGUCAGUAAUUUACACAGCCAGACACCAUGCAAAAGUAAAGUCUUCCUUUUAAAAUGAAUGAUGAUAUAUUUGGUUGUUUUUUAUGGUGUAUCAUCAUUAAUUAAAAGCAAGUACACUG